RNAcentral lists this ribosomal RNA (464 nucleotides) under Vreelandella stevensii. RNAcentral describes it as "partial 16S ribosomal RNA". It matches the Rfam family "Bacterial small subunit ribosomal RNA", at positions 338 to 795 of the family's 1533-position model. The record is from RNAcentral. Lineage: Bacteria; Pseudomonadati; Pseudomonadota; Gammaproteobacteria; Oceanospirillales; Halomonadaceae.
CCUACGGGGGCUGCAGUGGGGAAUAUUGGACAAUGGGCGAAAGCCUGAUCCAGCCAUGCCGCGUGUGUGAAGAAGGCCUUCGGGUUGUAAAGCACUUUCAGUGGGGAAGAAAGCCUUGGGGCUAAUACCCUCGAGGAAGGACAUCACCCACAGAAGAAGCACCGGCUAACUCCGUGCCAGCAGCCGCGGUAAUACGGAGGGUGCGAGCGUUAAUCGGAAUUACUGGGCGUAAAGCGCGCGUAGGCGGUCUGAUAAGCCGGUUGUGAAAGCCCCGGGCUCAACCUGGGAACGGCAUCCGGAACUGUCAGGCUAGAGUGCAGGAGAGGAAGGUAGAAUUCCCGGUGUAGCGGUGAAAUGCGUAGAGAUCGGGAGGAAUACCAGUGGCGAAGGCGGCCUUCUGGACUGACACUGACGCUGAGGUGCGAAAGCGUGGGUAGCAAACAGGAUUAGAUACCCCUGUAGUC